RNAcentral lists this ribosomal RNA (1242 nucleotides) under metagenome. RNAcentral's name for it is "bacterial LSU rRNA". It matches the Rfam family "Bacterial large subunit ribosomal RNA", at positions 1564 to 2815 of the family's 2925-position model. The record is from RNAcentral.
UGAGUACGAGAUGCUACGGCAUUGAAGCAGUCUAUGUCAUACUUCCAAGAAAAGCUUGCACUGUCAUAAACAAAGAAUGCCUGUGCCAUAACCGACACAGGUGGGUAGGUAGAGUAUACUAAGGGGCGCGAGAUAACUCUCUCUAAGGAACUCGGCAAAAUGACUCCGUAACUUCGGGAGAAGGAGUGCCUUAUUUUUAAGGUUGCAAUAACAAGAUCCAAGCAACUGUUUAUCAAAAACACAGGUCUCCGCUAAGUCGUAAGACGAUGUAUGGGGGCUGACGCCUGCCCAGUGCCAGAAGGUUAAAGAAGUUGGUUAGCAUUCGCGAAGCUGAUAACUGAAGCCCUGGUGAACGGCGGCCGUAACCAUAACGGUCCUAAGGUAGCGAAAUUCCUCGUCGGGUAAGUUCCGACCCGCACGAAAGGCGUAAUGAUUUGGAUACUGUCUCGGAGAGGGACUCGGUGAAAUAGACUUGUCUGUGAAGAUGCGGACUACCUGCACCUGGACAGAAAGACCCUAUGAAGCUUUACUGUAACUUGAAAUUGAAAUUGGACUUUAGUUGCGCAGGAUAGGUGGGAGGCGUUGAGAAUAUUCUUGCGGGAGUAUUGGAGCCAUCAGUGAGAUACCACUCUUCUAAUGUUAGAUUUCUAACUUUGUAUCAUUAUCUGGUCAAAGAACAGUUUCAGGCGGGCAGUUUGACUGGGGCGGUCGCCUCCUAAAGGGUAACGGAGGCGCACAAAGGUUUCCUCUGAACGAGUAGAAAUCGUAUCUAGAGUGUAAAGGCAUAAGGAAGCUUGACUGUGAGACCUACAAGUCGAGCAGGGACGAAAGUCGGUCUUAGUGAUCUGACGGUGCUGAGUGGAAAGGCCGUCACUCAACGGAUAAAAGUUACUCUAAGGAUAACAGGCUGAUCUCCCCCAAGAGUCCACAUCGACGGGGAGGUUUGGCACCUCGAUGUCGGCUCAUCGCAUCCUGGGGCGGUAGUACGUCCCAAGGGUUGGGCUGUUCGCCCAUGAAAGCGGUACGCGAGCUGGGUUCAGAACGUCGUGAGACAGUUCGGUCCAUAUCCGGUGUAGGCGUUAGAAUAUUGAGAGGAGCCUUCUCUAGUACGAGAGGACCGAGAAGGACAUACCUCUAGUGUACCAGUUAUCGUGCCAACGGUAAACGCUGGGUAGCUAUGUAUGGAGUGGAUAACCGCUGAAAGCAUCUAAGUGGGAAGCCCACCUCAAGAUAAGUAUUCUC